UAUAUUAUAUUGUUUAUUUUUGUUGAUUAACGUUAAUCAUCAUAACAACUCAGGCUCAAUAUAUCAGAAUGUGAGAAAUAAGUCAGAAAGUUUUAAGCUGGCGUGUUUUUCUAAGACAAAGGUAAGCUUUGAGGGAGCUGUUCGGCUGGUUUGAUGACGUUUUAUUGAAAACUCCACAGAAAUGUGUUUUUUGUUUGUUUGUUUUUGUUUUUUUGGAGGGGGGUGGGGCAAAGAACCUGUAACAAACGAAAGCAAAAGUUAAACUGAGCUGAAUUUAUAAAGGCUGUGCUGAAAACUGAAAACACUCCAUCUGUGUUAGAGUGAGAUAUCGUCAGAAAAAAGGAGACCAUGAGUUAUCAGCGUGGCUCAAAACAAUUUAAAGGUUCAGACAGACAACUGGUGCAUUGGGGACAAAAUCAAGCUGGCAAUAUGUUUCAGGAUAAACAGAAAAUUAUGAAACAGCCUUCUGAUGAGCAGGUGAAAGUUGUUGUGAGCGGCGAGCAACGUGUGCGAGCUAUGGAUGGGUCACAGUACGCCAUCAAAGAAGAAUACAAAUGGACCAUAGAAAAACAAUAAGACCACUGAUGAAGAAACAAAGCAGAGAGGAUGAAAUGAUCAAAUUCAAUCAAAUUUCCACAACCUGCCAUAAAAUGUGUUGCUUAUUAACAAGUUCUCGCAUGAAUUAAAUCAGUAACCUAGUCUUUAAAACAGGAUGUACAACAUUUUGAAUAAAAUUAGAAGAUUUACCAUUUGUUAACUGCAUCAUGUUGAUAAAUGUGUUUUUUCAUUCAGUUACAUAAAACAUAGAUUUAACUCUUUAAUGAUUAUUGGAAGACUUUCCUCAUGAAAUCAAAUUGUGGUGUCUGUAAAAGCCACUUUUGAAAAACAAGACAAAAUCAUUACGUAAUAAAAAUAGGUUUGGCUAGUUAAAAGUGAAAUUUAAGUUUUAGUUAAAAUGAACAAAAUUAAUAUAAUUGAGCUACUGAUGAAAAAAGUCUCUUUCUCUCAGCUGGGAUUAUUUCUCUUCUUUAGGACUUUGUGAAGAAUAUUUACCAUUUUAUCCAAUAAAAGAAAUCUGUGGGCAAAA
This is a long non-coding RNA of Tachysurus vachellii, 1087 nucleotides long. RefSeq lists it as uncharacterized. The transcript has 4 exons. NCBI's taxonomy places the organism in Eukaryota, Metazoa, Chordata, Actinopteri, Siluriformes, Bagridae. The record is from RefSeq and is a predicted model, not a curated record.